Molecule: RNA transcript, 499 nt
Organism: Sesamum indicum (sesame)
Lineage: Eukaryota; Viridiplantae; Streptophyta; Magnoliopsida; Lamiales; Pedaliaceae
Gene name: ATPase GET3A
Source: RefSeq, a predicted model, not a curated record
CAUCGACAGGCGAUAAGAUGUCUGCAGGGUCAGGAUUUCCAUCGAGCUUGAAGUACUUUGCUCCUAUAAGCUUGCUUCAGGUCAUAACAACACAGGAACAACAAAUGAUUAAUGCUCAUACUACGUAAACCUUAAAGACAGAGAUACGACAAGAAUUUACUUGUUGCAGCCUGAAAAAUUGGCGAAGGGGCCACAACUUCCUUUCCAUUUAGCUGGUGGAGGACCAAGACCAUCAUCCUUAAAGCUCUCAGAUUGUGGGGUGAUUCCUGGUACAUGGUAACUGUAAGGAUUGCUAGAAGUACAACCAAAGACAGCCUACAGUACUUAUCAUGGCAAUAUUAACUAUUGACAGUUGAGCAAUACUAUAAACUGUUUGUGGGGUUGAAGCGUUGCAAGCAUUUUCACACAACUUUGUAACACCGUAUCGUGCAUCCAUUGUCCGAGGAACGUUAGAAGAGCUAGAGCAGAGAAUAUCGACACUAAAAGAACAGUUGAAGGU